Molecule: small nuclear RNA, 159 nt
Organism: Phodopus roborovskii (desert hamster)
Lineage: Eukaryota; Metazoa; Chordata; Mammalia; Rodentia; Cricetidae
Product: U1 spliceosomal RNA
Exons: 1
Source: RefSeq, a predicted model, not a curated record
AUGCUUACCUGGCAGGGUAGACACCAUGAGCAGGCAGGUAGUUUUCCCAGAGAGAGGCUCACCCAUUGCACUUGAGGUGUGCUGUCCCCUGAGAUUUCUGUACACACACGAAACUGCAUAAUUUGUGGUAGUGAGGGACGGUAUUAGUUCUUUCUCCUG